Molecule: ribosomal RNA, 497 nt
Filed under: uncultured bacterium
Lineage: Bacteria
Description: partial 16S ribosomal RNA
Rfam family: Bacterial small subunit ribosomal RNA
Source: RNAcentral
GAUGAACGCUGGCGGCGUGCCUAAUACAUGCAAGUCGAGCGAACAGACGAGGAGCUUGCUCCUCUGACGUUAGCGGCGGACGGGUGGGUAACACGUGGAUAACCUACCUAUAAGACUGGGAUAACUUCGGGAAACCGGAGCUAAUACCGGAUAAUAUAUUGAACCGCAUGGUUCAAUAGUGAAAGACGGUUUUGCUGUCACUUAUAGAUGGAUCCGCGCCGCAUUAGCUAGUUGGUAAGGUAACGGCUUACCAAGGCAACGAUGCGUAGCCGACCUGAGAGGGUGAUCGGCCACACUGGAACUGAGACACGGUCCAGACUCCUACGGGAGGCAGCAGUAGGGAAUCUUCCGCAAUGGGCGAAAGCCUGACGGAGCAACGCCGCGUGAGUGAUGAAGGUCUUCGGAUCGUAAAACUCUGUUAUUAGGGAGGAACAAAUGUGUAAGUAACUAUGCACGUCUUGACGGUACCUAAUCAGAAAGCCACGGCUAACUACGUG